Molecule: microRNA, 18 nt
Filed under: Macrophomina phaseolina MS6
Lineage: Eukaryota; Fungi; Ascomycota; Dothideomycetes; Botryosphaeriales; Botryosphaeriaceae
Description: miR-1268
Source: RNAcentral
UGGGCGUGGUGGUGGAGG